AGAUUUUCACUUUCAUUUGAGAUUUUCUUGAUUCAUGUCAUGACCAGAGCAGUCCCCGAAUUUCAUUCGCUUACUUUGCUUAUGACUUCCUGUGCUUUUGUUUGAUUUUUUGCAAGGGCAUGUUAAUACCACUAUAUCGAGUACAACUUGAUUGCUUAAGGGAAUUAUCAACUGGAAACGCCAACCGGUCAUCCAAGUCGUCGACGAUUUGCUCAAUGUCCAUCAAGUUCGUGGUUAGGGGUUCACAACUGCGCUGAUUCACAGCUCGGGAACAAAGCAGGGUUCGGCACGAAGACAUCUCCUCCGUUAUUAAGCUGCGCAGCCAGCUCCGGUUCUCCUUCUCCUCCGUUAUUAAGCUGCGCAGCCAGCUCCGGUUCUCCCUCUCCUCCGUUAUUAAGCUGCGCAGCCAGCUCCGGGUCUCCCUCUCCUCCGUUGUUAAGCUGCGCAGCCAGCUCCGGUUCUCCCUCUCCUCUGUUAUUAAGCUGCGCAGUCAGCUCGGGUUCUCCCCUCUCCUUUGGCACCCCGAUCAAGUUCAAAUGAUUGGCGUAGCCGCCCUGACCAAGUUCUCGGCGAAGAUACAGAGGCAGCGCAGGCAGUCGAUGCAAGUGCUCUGGCAGCAGAUGUUUCUCUGGGUAAUAAACACAACUUCAGCGCAGACAAAAUCCUCACGAAGAAAGUGAAAUUAGAAGGGCAGUGCAGCUGUUUUGAGUGAAGGGAAGCGCAAGUUCGAAGAUACACAGAAGGGCAGCGCAGUUGUCUUGAAUGCAGGGCAGCGUGGGUCAAACCAAUUGGCACGUUCAGAGUGACUCUAUCAAUCUAUCAUAGUGACGAGUAAUCUGUUAUUUUUAUUUUGGGGUUGAUUUUGUGUUCAAAUUUAUUGGGAUUAUUCAUUGGAUAUUGCAUUUAAAUUUCAAUAACUGAAUUUGGGAUAUUGCAACUAUCUCUUACUUUAUUUGGGUACCCAAUUAUCACUAGCUGAUUUUGACCUAUAUCUUGGUGAAAAAAUACUCUUACAAUUGAAACAGUGAGUACUUGUUGAAUGGCAG
This 1046-nucleotide long non-coding RNA is filed under the name Salvia miltiorrhiza (redroot sage). Its description in RNAcentral is "long non-coding RNA (SMIL_LNC001111)". Lineage: Eukaryota; Viridiplantae; Streptophyta; Magnoliopsida; Lamiales; Lamiaceae. The record is from RNAcentral.